CGGAGGGUGCAAGCGUUAUCCGGAUUCACUGGGUUUAAAGGGAGCGCAGGCGGACUGGUAAGUCAGUGGUGAAAUACCUGAGCUUAACUCGGGAACUGCCAUUGAUACUAUCAGUCUUGAAUGUUGUUGAGGUUUGCGGAAUGGGUCAUGUAGCGGUGAAAUGCAUAGAUAUGACCCGGAACACCUAUUGCGAAGGCAGCAGGCUAAACAAAUAUUGACGCUGAGGCUCGAAAGCGUGGGGAUCAAACAGGAUUAGAUACCCUGGUAGUCCACGCCCUAAACGAUGAUUACUCGACAUACGCGAUACACUGUGUGUGUCUGAGCGAAGCAUUAAGUAAUCCACCUGGGAAGUACGACCGCAAGGUUG
This 367-nucleotide ribosomal RNA is filed under the name uncultured organism. Its description in RNAcentral is "bacterial SSU rRNA". It matches the Rfam family "Bacterial small subunit ribosomal RNA", at positions 526 to 896 of the family's 1533-position model. The record is from RNAcentral.